Molecule: ribosomal RNA, 164 nt
Filed under: uncultured bacterium
Lineage: Bacteria
Description: partial 16S rRNA
Rfam family: Bacterial small subunit ribosomal RNA
Source: RNAcentral
UAGGGAAUCUUCCACAAUGGGCGCAAGCCCGAUGGAGCAACACCGCGUGAGUGAAGAAGGGUUUCGGCUCGUAAAGCUCUGUUGUUAAAGAAGAACACGUAUGAGAGUAACUGUUCAUACGUUGACGGUAUUUAACCAGAAAGUCACGGCUAACUACGUGUCAG